Molecule: small RNA, 683 nt
Filed under: Pan troglodytes (chimpanzee)
Lineage: Eukaryota; Metazoa; Chordata; Mammalia; Primates; Hominidae
Description: processed transcript
Source: RNAcentral
GAGCACAGCCUGGCUUGUGUCAUGGGCCACACAACUCUUCCAUUAUGCAUGAGGGAGACCCAGCGGUGAGCGAGUGAGCAAGCCGGCCGAGGGAGGGGUUGAUUGACUUAUGUGCAAUUUGGGACGCUGGAGUUUACCUUCCCUCCGCAGCCUGCAACAGAGCCUCCUCUGGUGUUGCAAGGAAGAGGCUGAAUGAGGCAGAGAAGCUAAGCUCUGUCCAGGAGGCCCAGUUAAAGCGGCUCGAGGUGACAAGACCCCGAGUGCUGGGGAGCAGGGAGCGGGGCCAGGUGCCGAGGAUGGCCAGGCAGCCACCGCCGCCCUGGGUCCAUGCAGCCUUCCUCCUCUGCCUCCUCAGUCUUGGCGGAGCCAUCGAAAUUCCUAUGGAUCGUCCUCUGUGGUCUUGACUUGCCCAUGAAAGCAGUCCAGGGUCAAGUGUGGUGGAGCAGUUCUUACUUGCCUUUCUAAUGUCUGAUAUAUUCAAAUCCACACCCUUCGGGCCCUCUUGGCUGGAGUAAUCAGGAGGACACAGGCCUGGGAAGGGCUGGGAGCAGAAUUAUCUUUGCAAAAGACAUGGCUAAAUGACACAUUAAAAUAGAGCCCCAUUAUCAUGCCGCAUAGGAGAACCAGGCAUGGAUUCCUUCUCAUUGUUUUCAACUUUCCCGCAGUAAAGAUAAAAAGUAAAA